RNAcentral lists this non-coding RNA (390 nucleotides) under Pongo abelii (Sumatran orangutan). The record is from RNAcentral. Lineage: Eukaryota; Metazoa; Chordata; Mammalia; Primates; Hominidae.
AACCAUGCAUUAAAAAGCUAUGAAAAGAUGAAGAGAAUAUGCCUUCAGAUGGGAAGGAAUACUUACUGUGAAUGAGACCUAGUUCAACAUUGAACUUCCUGGUGGCCAAGUCAGAAGAGAAGCACAAGAACCUGGAAGACUACUCUGCCAAAACAUCUCAAAAAGUGUGUGUCUGGAAUUGGUGGGUUCUUGGUCUCACUGACUUCAAGAAUGAAGCCGUGGACCCUUGCGGAACUGUGAAGACUAGAGUGACCUUGGAGAUCUCAUCUGGAAGAUGGUAGAACUGCCAUCAGCCUGGGUUCCCAAAUGACCUCGUGGAUCACAGCUACCCAUGGCCUGAAAUGUUGACCUUGGAGUUGUUACAUAGGAAAGAAAUAAACUUCUUUGUUC